Molecule: ribosomal RNA, 460 nt
Filed under: uncultured bacterium
Lineage: Bacteria
Description: partial 16S ribosomal RNA
Rfam family: Bacterial small subunit ribosomal RNA
Source: RNAcentral
CCUACGGGUGGCAGCAGUGAGGAAUAUUGCUCAAUGGACGAGAGUCUGAACCAGCCAAGUAGCGUGAAGGAUGACUGCCCUAUGGGUUGUAAACUUUUUUUAUAAAGGAAUAAAACGAGGCACCUGUGCCUUUUAGCAUCUACUUUAUGAAUAAGGAUCGGCUAACUACGUGCCAGCAGCCGCGGUAAUACGGAGGGUCCGAGCGUUAUCCGGAUUUAUUGGGUGUAAAGGAAGCGUAGGUGGAUAGUAAAGUCAGAUGUGAAAGUUUGCGGCUCAACCGUGAAAUUGCAGUGGAAACUGGCAGUCUGGAGUACAGUAGAGGUGGGCGGAAUUCGUGGUGUAGCGGUGAAAUGCUUAGAUAUCACGAAGAACUCCGAUUGCGAAGGCAGCUCACUGGACUGCAACUGACACUGAGGCUCGAAAGUGUGGGUAUCAAACAGGAUUAGAUACCCUAGUAGUC